RNAcentral lists this ribosomal RNA (796 nucleotides) under Porina rosei. RNAcentral describes it as "SSU rRNA". It matches the Rfam family "Bacterial small subunit ribosomal RNA", at positions 389 to 1219 of the family's 1533-position model. The record is from RNAcentral. Lineage: Eukaryota; Fungi; Ascomycota; Lecanoromycetes; Ostropales; Porinaceae.
AGACGAAGGCUUAUUGCCGAUGUAAUUUUUAAUAAUUGCAAUAGUAACUCCGUUACAUAAAGUUCUAGGCAAGUAUUUGAUAAUGACAUAACUUGUCUAUAAGUCUUGACUAAGUCACGUGCCAGCAGUCGCGGUAAUACGUGGAAGACAAGCGUUAUUCAUCUUUAAUAGGUUUAAAGGGUACCUAGACAGUUAAUAAAGCCCAACAGGGGACUAAUUACACUAGAGUUUUAUAUGAGAAGGGGAGAACGGUGUGUGGAAAGAUGAAAUUUAUUGAUACCACUUAGAGACUGUCAACAGCGAAGGCAACCUUUUAUGUCAAAACUGACGUUGAGGGACGAAGGCCCACUAUAGAGAACAGGAUUAGAGACCCUAGUAUUCAGGGCAGAAAAUGAUGAGUGUCAUAUAUAAGUAUUGUAAUACUGCUAAUGUAUUAAAAAAAGUAGUAUUUUAUGUAUUUAUAUAUAAACGAAAGUGUAAGCACUCCACCUCACGAGUAACAUGGCAACAUAGGAACUGAAAUCAUUAGACCGUUUCUGAAACCAGUAGUGAAGUAUGUUGUUUAAUUUGAUAAUCCACAAAGAACCUUACCACCAAUAUUAUAUGUAUAUAUUUCUUUAUUAAAGAAAUUUACAAGUGUUGCACGGCUGUCUUCAGUUGAUAUCGUGAGAUUUUGGUUAGUUCCAUUCAAUCAACGUAAACCCUUACUUUAUUUUUUAUAUAAAGUAGUUCACCGCAUGGUAAGAUAACAGGGACCAAGACAAGUCAUCAUGACCUUAUAUAUCGUGGGCUAUAG